UGUUGUUGGGGUUUACAAUUUCAUCUUAUCCACUCUCAUAUAUCUACUUUUCUUAUUUACUUCACUUAUUUAUCUAAUUGUCAUGCAAACUUUCUAGCCUAUCCUUAACCCAAUCCCUUGGUGAAAAGAGCCUAUUAUUAAUUAUCGGCUUGCUAUCCCUAGCCUCCCCUAUUAACCAAUAAUGCAAUGUGAACGGAAGCAAAAUACAAUUGAUCGUCCUACCCCUAUCCCUAGGCGGUAUUAGCAUAAUAAAGGAAUUUCUCACCAGUUCAUGACAUUACCGUACGUCCCCAUAUCGAUAAAGACAAACAACAUUUACUGAAUAAGUUAAACAAUAAAAGCAUUUAGCAAAGAUGAGAACCCAACAAUUGAUAAACAAGUAUAUAACAAGCAUAUGAAAUAAAUAAGAAUUUGGAUAUAUGAGAGUUUCAAAAGAUUACAUUGUUCCCCAACAGCAAAGGGUUUAGUUCA
Molecule: long non-coding RNA, 471 nt
Filed under: Vigna radiata
Lineage: Eukaryota; Viridiplantae; Streptophyta; Magnoliopsida; Fabales; Fabaceae
Description: long non-coding RNA (VRAD_LNC009047)
Source: RNAcentral